GAGUUUGAUCUUGGCUCAGAUUGAACGCUAGCGGGAUGCCUUACACAUGCAAGUCGAACGGCAGCACGGACUUCGGUCUGGUGGCGAGUGGCGAACGGGUGAGUAAUGUAUCGGAACGUGCCUAGUAGCGGGGGGAUAACUACGCGAAAGCGUAGCUAAUACCGCAUACGCCCUACGGGGAAAGCAGGGGAUCGCAAGACCUUGCACUAUUAGAGCGGCCGAUAUCGGAUUAGCUAGUUGGUGGGGUAACGGCUCACCAAGGCGACGAUCCGUAGCUGGUUUGAGAGGACGACCAGCCACACUGGGACUGAGACACGGCCCAGACUCCUACGGGAGGCAGCAGUGGGGAAUUUUGGACAAUGGGGGAAACCCUGAUCCAGCCAUCCCGCGUGUGCGAUGAA
Molecule: ribosomal RNA, 401 nt
Filed under: uncultured microorganism
Description: bacterial SSU rRNA
Rfam family: Bacterial small subunit ribosomal RNA
Source: RNAcentral